Molecule: long non-coding RNA, 533 nt
Filed under: Triticum aestivum (bread wheat)
Lineage: Eukaryota; Viridiplantae; Streptophyta; Magnoliopsida; Poales; Poaceae
Description: long non-coding RNA (TAES_LNC014864)
Source: RNAcentral
UUUUUACUGGAGAGUGAGAUUAGGUUGAUUAUUUUUGCAGAUAAUUAACAGACAAAUUACUCACGUCCACCAAUUUAUUUAAGAAUUUUUGGGGUUACAGAAGUAUCCGAAACCUACAGAUUACUACAGAUUGUUCUGUUUUUGACAGAUUCUGUUUUUCGUGUGUUGUUUGCUUUUUUUGAUGAAUCUAUGGCUAGUAUCGGGGGGUAUGAACCAUAGUGUAACACCCUCGAUGCGUCUAUAUCUCCCACGUGUUGAAGCACGACUUAGAGGCAUAACCGCAUUGAAAGCAAUGUCGCAAGUGAGGUAAUCUGCACACAACCCAUGUAAUACAUAAGGAAAAGGGAUACAUAGUUGGCUUACAAUCGCCACUUCACACAAUACAUGAAUAAAGCAUUACAACAUCCAAAUACAAUCAAGGUCUGACUACGAUACCAAAAUAAAAGAAGACUACCCCAAAUGCUACACAGAUCCCCGAUCAACCCCAACUGGGCUCCACUACUGAUCAACUGGAAACGAAACAAGACUACGAA